CCUACGGGCGGCAGCAGUGAGGAAUAUUGGUCAAUGGGCGAGAGCCUGAACCAGCCAAGUCGCGUGAGGGAGUACUGCCCUAUGGGUUGUAAACCUCUUUUGUCGGGGAGCAAAAGCCGGAAGUGUCCGGCUGUGGGAGUACCCGAAGAAAAAACAUUGGCUAACUUCGUGCCAGCAGCCGCGGUAAUACGGAGGAUGCGGGCGUUAUCCGGGUUUAUUGGGUUUAAAGGGGGCGCAGGCGGAAUUUUAAGUCAGCGGUAAAAUUGUGGGGCUCAACCCCAUCCAGCCGUUGAAACUGGGGAUCUAGAGUGUGCGAGAGGUAGGCGGAAUGCGUGGUGUAGCGGUGAAAUGCAUAGAUAUCACGCAGAACCCCGAUUGCGAAGGCAGCAUACCGGUGCACAACUGACGCUCAGGCACGAAAGCGUGGGUAUCGAACAGGAUUAGAUACCCUAGUAGUC
This 458-nucleotide ribosomal RNA is filed under the name uncultured bacterium. Its description in RNAcentral is "partial 16S ribosomal RNA". It matches the Rfam family "Bacterial small subunit ribosomal RNA", at positions 338 to 795 of the family's 1533-position model. The record is from RNAcentral.